GCGAGGUGGUGCUAAUCCUAGAAAGUUUCUCGUAGUCCGGAUUGGAGUCUGCAACUCGACUCCAUGAAGUCGGAAUCGCUAGUAAUCGCGGAUCAGCAUGCCGCGGUGAAUACGUUCUCGGGUCUUGUACACACCGCCCGUCACACCAUGGAAGUGGAUUGCACCAGAAGUAGAUAGUCUAACCUUCGGGAGGGCGUUACCACGGUGUGCUUCAUGACUGGGGUGAAGUCGUAACAAGGUAGCCGUAGGGGAACCUGUGGCUGGAUCACCUCCUU
Molecule: ribosomal RNA, 275 nt
Filed under: uncultured SAR86 cluster bacterium
Lineage: Bacteria; Pseudomonadati; Pseudomonadota; Gammaproteobacteria
Description: partial 16S ribosomal RNA
Rfam family: Bacterial small subunit ribosomal RNA
Source: RNAcentral